Molecule: ribosomal RNA, 427 nt
Filed under: uncultured bacterium
Lineage: Bacteria
Description: bacterial SSU rRNA
Rfam family: Bacterial small subunit ribosomal RNA
Source: RNAcentral
UGGGGAAUUUUGGACAAUGGGCGCAAGCCUGAUCCAGCCAUGCCGCGUGCGGGAAGAAGGCCUUCGGGUUGUAAACCGCUUUUGUCAGGGAAGAAAUCCUUUGGGCUAAUACCUCGGAGGGAUGACGGUACCUGAAGAAUAAGCACCGGCUAACUACGUGCCAGCAGCCGCGGUAAUACGUAGGGUGCGAGCGUUAAUCGGAAUUACUGGGCGUAAAGCGUGCGCAGGCGGUGAUGUAAGACAGAUGUGAAAUCCCCGGGCUCAACCUGGGAACUGCGUUUGUGACUGCAUCACUCGAGUACGGCAGAGGGAGGUGGAAUUCCGCGUGUAGCAGUGAAAUGCGUAGAUAUGCGGAGGAACACCGAUGGCGAAGGCAAUCCCCUGGACCUGUACUGACGCUCAUGCACGAAAGCGUGGGGAGCAAACA